RNA transcript from Brassica napus (rape), 1775 nucleotides. It is a transcript of the gene named ribosomal RNA small subunit methyltransferase B-like, with no coding region annotated. Lineage: Eukaryota; Viridiplantae; Streptophyta; Magnoliopsida; Brassicales; Brassicaceae. The transcript has 5 exons. The record is from RefSeq and is a predicted model, not a curated record.
GUAACGAUUUUGAGUUUGCUAAUAGAAGAAAAGAAAGGUUUGAAAAGUCAGCGUUCAAAGUCAGACAAGACUGGAUUUGGUCACCUUCAAUGUUUUGAUUUGCUGACAGGUUCCUUGGGAUUCCACAACAAAUAGUAUGUUUCUAUAUAUAUAUAUAUAUAUAAAAAGAAUAACACAUUGGUCAAAAUCACAAUCUUCUUUAUAUAUAUAAUAGGUUUUCAUUCUCUCCCAUCUAUGCCAACAAAGACGCCACGUCAUAAAUUGGACUCUCCUGUGCGCGACACGUAUCCCGUUAAAUGAAACGCAGCGUGUUAUGGCAGCGGGCUUCGCUUAGGCUUUGUCUCGCGUUUUGUUUUUGCGGCCCAACGACCAGCGACGCGACCACAGGAGAGAAAGAACCCGUCCUGAUUCACGCCUUCGUGUUCUUCGUUUCUCUUCGAUCGGCGGACGGGGCGAUCCAGUUUCUGUAACAGUAUGCAUUGAUUUUUUGUCUUAAAUCUUCUUAAUUCGUAAACCCACUACGAAACUUUCGAUUGCGCUGUUCGUCGGCGAAAUCGUGUAUAAAUAUGUUACAAUCUCUCCUCUGCGAAUCGCGAUAUCAACAUCUAUCUUCUACACAUCUCACUCAUUUUCAUAUCUUUGUGAUCAUCUCUCUUAAUGGCUAACUCAAAGCCUUUUUUCGAUUUGAAGUCCGGUAGGUGUUCAUCGGUUGUGGAUGCAAUGUUGCUGCGGUACUGGGAGGCUAGAAACGUCAAGGGUGGUGGGGAGCUUAUGUGGGUCGACAUGCUAAUGGUGGAUAUUAAAUUGAGUGAUCUCAGUGGUGAAACCUCAGCCAGGAGAUAUGAUAUUGAACGCAUGUGCUGCUCCUGGAGGGAAGACCCUUUUUCAUGGCAUCUUGCUUGAAACGCCAAGGCUGAUGCUAUGGACGUGAAUGAAGGACGGCUAAGAAUUCUUGGGGAGACAGCUAAAUCACACCAAGUUGCUGGACUUAUCACAGCCAUUUAUUCCGAUCUACGUGUCUUUGCUGUGAGUUAAUACUGUUUGAGUAAGUGAGUUUUACAAGUGUGUAAGCUACUCACAUUGCUUUCUUCAAACUCAAAUGCCUUUUAGGAGACAAAAGAGGUAAAAUAUGAUAAAUUGUUGCUUGAUGCCCCGUGUUCUGGAAUCGGUGUCCUCUCUAAAGUUAACAUGAGCAAUUUUUUAUCAUACUGUUUUUUCUUAGUUGAAUAGCUUAACAUGUUCCUUCUCUCUCUCUCUGUUUGCAUAGAGCGGACUUGCGCUUGAACUGCAAACUGGAGGACAUGGAAGAACUUAAGAAUCUACAGGAUGAGCUUCUUGAUUCUGCCUCCAAGCCUGGUGGAUUCUUGAUAUACAGUACUUGCUCGAUAGACCCUGAAGAAAAUCAAGGAAGAGUCGAAGCGUUUCUCCUAAGACAUCCUGAGUUCUCGGUAGAUCCAGUAGAUAGAUUAGUACCAUCAAGUUUUGUAACGUCGCAAGGCGUCUUUUUAUCCAACCCAGUGAAACACUCCUUGGAUGGAGCGUUUGCAGCCCGUCUCGUUCGAGCUUUAUGAUGUAAAAGUCAAGCUUAUUUUCUCUGAUCAUCUUGAUAAAAGAGAGAUAGGGUUACAUUUGUGUAUCUGAUGAGCUCAUCCAACUACAGUUUAACACAAGGAAUAAUGUAAGGCCAAAUCAACUCUUGGUGUAUAGUUAAAAUAUAAACAUAUGUUAAUUAACAAAAUAAAUAUGUAUUGUAAUUUUUUUGUUUUAAGAAACCA